Molecule: long non-coding RNA, 840 nt
Organism: Setaria italica (foxtail millet)
Lineage: Eukaryota; Viridiplantae; Streptophyta; Magnoliopsida; Poales; Poaceae
Exons: 3
Source: RefSeq, a predicted model, not a curated record
UUGAAUGUGCUGGAGCAGAACGUUGUGCUUGCUGGGGAGUUGGAGGUUGGUGCGAGAAAACUUCUGUUGAUGUUUCUGCUCCCGUCCAUGAUCUUAGAUGUUGCUACCAGUGAGUGUCAUCUUCCACUACAAGACCAAGAAAAACACAAAUGGGGGCUGGAAUUAAUUCCAGAAAGACCAAGGAGGAAUGCAGGGGAUAACAGAUCUAUGAUUCAGAAGGCUAUUGAUCUUAAAUGUUACUACCUCCGUUCCAAAGUAUGUUCCAAAUUAUAGGUUGUUUUGACUUUUCUAGGUUCAUUGAUAUUAUUAUGCACCUAGACAUAUACUCCAUCUGGAUGCAUAAUAAUAUCUAUGAACUUAAAAAAGCUAAAAUGACCUACAAUUUGGAAUGGAGUACAAGAACCUAGAAGCCCCACGCAAAGGUCCAGGGCAAGAGAUGGGUGAACGAGAAGAAGUUGAUGGACAGGAUGAUAAGGACGCUGGAGAGCUGGUGAGUCUUGUGCGAGGAAGGGCAUGCUGCAGGACUGGACCAUGUGCUGGGCAUACUGAAGGCCAAGAUGAGCCAACCGCUACAGCUAACCUGGGAACGAGCAGCUUCCGCUACGACGAGGAUGCAGGGAUUGUCAGGUGCGGGAACAUUCAUUGGGCAGCUUGGCUCCAGCGAUGUCAAUCCUUUGGGGGUUGGAAGGGGCGUUAAUGAAGAGUCGAGUUUGCUUUAUCUGUCAGCAAACCCUGUAACAAGUUUAGACUCUGGUGGUACUGAGUGAAAGCAACAGCAGGCGCGCUGCCAAUACGCUGGUCGAAAAUGUAACCAUGCUUUGUUUCUCUGAAAUAAAGCGG